This is a microRNA precursor of Oryza sativa Japonica Group (Japanese rice), 196 nucleotides long. It matches the Rfam family "MIR812 microRNA precursor family". The record is from Rfam. NCBI's taxonomy places the organism in Eukaryota, Viridiplantae, Streptophyta, Magnoliopsida, Poales, Poaceae.
AAAAAGGCAAACCCUGGGUUUCCGUGCCAACGUUUGACUGUCCGUCUUAUAUGAAAUUUUUUAUAAUUAGUAUUUUCAUUGUUGUUAGAUGAUAAAACAUGAUUAAUACUUUAUGCGUGACUUAUCUUUUUAAUAUUUUUUCAUAAUUUUUUUAAAUAAGACAGACGGUCAAACGUUAGACACGAAAACCAGGGUU